The sequence is a regulatory RNA element, 142 nucleotides long. It matches the Rfam family "Ribosomal protein L10 leader". From Rfam's summary of the family: This family is a putative r-protein leader autoregulatory structure found in B. subtilis and other low-GC Gram-positive bacteria. It is located in the 5' untranslated regions of mRNAs encoding ribosomal proteins L10 and L12 (rplJ-rplL). A Rho-independent transcription terminator structure that is probably involved in regulation is included at the 3' end. The record is from Rfam.
AAUUUAAAUAGUGCUGAACCGUAGACAGCAGGUGCCCAACAGGCUUAAUUCCCUGCCGAGGUCGUUGAAUUCGAUUUUCUUAAAUGAAGACGAUUCUGCCUCCAUGUCUGCUCUGGCACAUGGAGGCUUUUUAUUUUUAGAA